RNAcentral lists this ribosomal RNA (253 nucleotides) under uncultured bacterium. RNAcentral's name for it is "partial 16S ribosomal RNA". It matches the Rfam family "Bacterial small subunit ribosomal RNA", at positions 524 to 776 of the family's 1533-position model. The record is from RNAcentral.
UACGAAGGGAGCUCGCGUUGUUCGGAAUCACUGGGCGUAAAGCGCACGUAGGCGGAUUUGUCAGUCGGGGGUGAAAUCCCGAGUCUCAACCUCGGAACUGCCUCCGAUACAGCAAAUCUCGAGUCCGGGAGAGGUGGGUGGAAUUCCUAGUGUAGAGGUGAAAUUCGUAGAUAUUAGGAAGAACACCAGUGGCGAAGGCGGCCCACUGGCCCGGUACUGACGCUGAGGUGCGAAAGCGUGGGUAGCGAACAGG